RNAcentral lists this long non-coding RNA (699 nucleotides) under Panax ginseng (ginseng). RNAcentral's name for it is "long non-coding RNA (PGIN_LNC008622)". The record is from RNAcentral. Lineage: Eukaryota; Viridiplantae; Streptophyta; Magnoliopsida; Apiales; Araliaceae.
UAGAAUCCUAUACCGAAGUGGUCAGACUGACAGACCGAUCAAGUUAGAAAGAAGUCUACACUUUAAAGACAUGUCUCGAGGCCUUCCUCGGGAUCGAAGCAGACCCAACAGCCAUUUUCCUGAUUGAUUGACUGAGAAGGGUACUAUGCCCUAUUGGUCUUCGGGAUUAUGGUCGAAGCAAAGUCGAUGAAGACCCAACAACCAUUUUUCUGAUUGAUUGACUGAGAAGGAUAUUCUGCCCUAUUGGUCUUCGGGAUUAUGGUUGAAGCAGAGUCGAUGAAGACCCAACAACCAUUUUCCUGAUUGAUUGACUGAGAAGGGUAUUCCGCCCUAUUGGUCUUUGGGAUUAUGGUCGCAGCAGACGAAGGCUCACCACAGUGACAGAAAGUUUCACCGAAGUAGAUCCAGAAAUCACUCCUGAGAAUCCACUGAGGGCACACCGCCCUGUAGACACUUGUCUUCGAAAAUGCCCAUCUAAGGCUGUCAGGUUCAGAUUCAGCACAUAAAAUGCACCCAUAUUCCUAAGCAUCCGAAGAAGGUACCUCAUCUUAGGGGUUCUCGGGACUAUGGGGCAAGCAGAUGAGGGAGUAAUUCAAGAAUAUAUUCACCCGAGAACACAAAAAAGGCACUCUGCCUUGAGUGUUCUCGCCAACAGCGAAGGACUCGUCACCAAAGCAGAUCUAUAAGCCGCACUCCUGG